GACGAACGCUUGCGGCGUGCUUAACACAUGCAAGUCGAACGGAAAGGCCCUGCUUUUGUGGGGUGCUCGAGUGGCGAACGGGUGAGUAGCACGUGAGUAACCUGCCCUUGACUUUGGGAUAACUUCAGGAAACUGGGGCUAAUACCGGAUAGGAGCUCCUGCUGCAUGGUGGGGGUUGGAAAGUUUCGGCGGUUGGGGAUGGACUCGCGGCUUAUCAGCUUGUUGGUGGGGUAGUGGCUUACCAAGGCUUUGACGGGUAGCCGGCCUGAGAGGGUGACCGGCCACAUUGGGACUGAGAUACGGCCCAGACUCCUACGGGAGGCAGCAGUGGGGAAUAUUGCACAAUGGGCGGAAGCCUGAUGCAGCAACGCCGCGUGCGGGAUGACGGCCUUCGGGUUGUAAACCGCUUUCGCCCGUGACGAAGCGUGAGUGACGGUAAUGGGUAAAGAAGCACCGGCUAACUACGUGCCAGCAGCCGCGGUGAUACGUAGGGUGCGAGCGUUGUCCGGAUUUAUUGGGCGUAAAGGGCUCGUAGGUGGUUGAUCGCGUCGGAAGUGUAAUCUUGGGGCUUAACCCUGAGCGUGCUUUCGAUACGGGUUGACUUGAGGAAGGUAGGGGAGAAUGGAAUUCCUGGUGGAGCGGUGGAAUGCGCAGAUAUCAGGAGGAACACCAGUGGCGAAGGCGGUUCUCUGGGCCUUUCCUGACGCUGAGGAGCGAAAGCGUGGGGAGCGAACAGGCUUAGAUACCCUGGUAGUCCACGCUGUAAACGGUGGGUACUAGGUGUGGGGUCCAUUCUACGGGUUCCGUGCCGUAGCUAACGCUUUAAGUACCCCGCCUGGGGAGUACGGCCGCAAGGCUAAAACUCAAAGGAAUUGACGGGGCCCCGCACAAGCGGCGGAGCAUGCGGAUUAAUUCGAUGCAACGCGUAGAACCUUACCUAGGUUUGACAUGGAUCGGGAGUGCUCAGAGAUGGGUGUGCCUCUUUUGGGGUCGGUUCACAGGUGGUGCAUGCCUGUCGUCAGCUCGUGUCGUGAGAUGUUGGGUUAAGUCCCGCAACGAGCGCAACCCUUGUUCACUGUUGCCAGCACGUUAUGGUGGGGACUCAGUGGAGACCGCCGGGGUCAACUCGGAGGAAGGUGGGGAUGACGUCAAGUCCUCAUGCCCCUUAUGUCCAGGGCUUCACGCAUGCUACAAUGGCUGGUACAGAGAGUGGCGAGCCUGUGAGGGUGAGCGAAUCUCGGAAAGCCGGUCUCAGUUCGGAUUGGGGUCUGCAACUCGACCUCAUGAAGUCGGAGUCGCUAGUAAUCGCAGAUCAGCAACGCUGCGGUGAAUACGUUCCCGGGGCU
RNAcentral lists this ribosomal RNA (1346 nucleotides) under uncultured bacterium. Its description in RNAcentral is "bacterial SSU rRNA". It matches the Rfam family "Bacterial small subunit ribosomal RNA", at positions 28 to 1381 of the family's 1533-position model. The record is from RNAcentral.